Sus scrofa (pig) is the source of this 1706-nucleotide non-coding RNA. NCBI's taxonomy places the organism in Eukaryota, Metazoa, Chordata, Mammalia, Artiodactyla, Suidae. The record is from RefSeq and is a predicted model, not a curated record.
GUGGUUUAGGAAGGAGGAAGAGGAGAGGCCCCUUGCUCCUUGCCCUCUCCUUUCUCAUGGCUCCAUCUGGACCCAUCCUUAGGGAGCGUGGAAAUGCUUAUAAUUUCAUCUUGGCAGUCAACUUCACUGUAGAAAAUGGAUGGAAACUUGAAGGUUGUGAAGCCUUUGUAAAAGCAAGGAUGGAAGGGUAGAGAAGCCACCAUAUCCAUGGAGGUGGGGAGAUGAAGUUCUUCAGGAUCGACAGAAAAGGGUGAAAAGCCCUGGAAAUUGUAAUUUUACAGGUAACCUUAAGAGAACAAUCUUUCAGUUUUUAAUUUCUUUAAAAGACCAUUAUCUAAAGCAACAACAGCAGUAAUAUAGGGCUUCUAACAUCUCAGGGUAUAAAAUAUAUGAACACAGUAGAACAAAGGAUGGGGGAUGGUAAAAGGGAAUCAUACUGGUUUAAGUUCUUCUAUGUGCUAAGGAUGCAAAUUGUAAUCCCUAGUACAAAUAAUUCAAGAAUAAAAUAGAUUUAGCUAAAAAGUCCCAAAAGUCAGUAAAAUGGAAUAUUAAGAUGUAAGUGAUUAAUCCAAAAGAGGGCCAAAAAAAGGAACAAGGAACCAAGGGGACAAAUAGAAAAUAAAUGACAGUACUUAUUAAUUGUAAUAUUAUCCACAAAGGGGAGGAAGGGAAGGGAAGAAAGUAGAUCUCUCUAAGGUCUUUCCCAGCUUUUGGUGUCCACACCACUGGUUUUAGUCCACACUCCCCUGUCUGCAUCUACUAGUGGAACUGAGGCAUCAUCAAGUUUUCUUAACAUCAGAGCUGGGAUGAGAGUGGGGUCAGCUGGUUCCUGGGUCUAAUCAUGGGCCCGUCAGGUAGAGGAGACCAUGGUUAUGGGUUUGUAAUUAGAGUAGCAAGUUCAGGUAAUGAUUAGGUUUGGAGUCAAAGAUAUUAUUUCUAUUAGUUAGGCCUGGGGUUAAGGCCAACUUAGAGUUGGCAACUGCUUGGAGUUCGUGCUGGAUUUGGUUUAUUGGUCCCAUCUGUAGUGUGGGAGAGGACUGGGCUUCAGGAAUAUUAGAUUGGGUGGGAUGGGCUGAUCCAGCAGGGCCCCUGCAAUCUCUCAGGGCAGUUAUUCACAUCCACUAGGUCUAUUCUUUCCCAUAGUUAAUAAGCUUUUUCUCUUUUAUCAAUGCAAUGCAACAUCCAUUGAUUUAAAAAGCCUUUGAUCACCUGCUAUGUAUCAGGCACCAUUCUAAGUGCUGGGGAUGCAGUGUGAACAAGACAAAAUCCCUGACCCUACCGAGCGGAUGUGCUGAGGGUGAUAAACAAACAUGAAUCCAGAGAAGAGAACCAGGCCAGCAGGUCAGAGUGAUCUGGAAGUCUGGGAAGAUCUUGUGAUUGAUGAGAAGGGACAGCAGGAGCAGAGGCCUGGAGGUGGGCAGAAUGAAGGCAGUGUGGCACCAGAAGUGGGCAGGAAAGGCGAAGAAGCACAGCUGUGCCAGAAGCUAAUUUCAUAAGCUCAACCCUGCUGAAACAUUCUCUUUGAGUUGGAGGUGUUGCUUUGUGACCUGCAAGCACAGUCAAGAACUCAGAGGUAUUUUUCUUGCUCUAGCAGCUCAUGAGCACCUGCAAGCUGCCAAAGCACCUAUUUCUUCUCCCCCUGCAGUCCCAAGAGAGAUCACAUUAGAAAGCCAGACUGACUUCUCCAAUUCUGAACUGGCCCAGAC